AUUUUCGGCCCAUUUUUGGUUAACUUUUUAUUUCUGUUCAAUUCAGUAUUUUGUUUUUGAGUUUUUAUUGUUUUGUUUAUUGAGUUUUUAUUAGGCUUAAGCAUAAAGUGUCAAGUAUAGUGGAGCGCUAUAAAAUCAAAACCAUUUUCUAAAAUGCUAUAAAAUCAAAACCAUUUUCUAAAAUGCUAUAAAAUCAAAAGCAUUUUCUAAAACACAAAAUAUAUUUAAGAAUACCAUUUGAAAACACUUUAAAAAUACGAAAUCGCUAUAUGCUGCUGAAUCUGAUAUAUGUAAAUGGCAAAAGCUUACAAGUUGGAAGGAACUAUUACUCGAAUCACGUAAAAGGCACAGAAAAAAGGGUGGUCUAGCAAUUAACUAAAUAAAAACACGCCAAAAACUAUGAUGCACACAAGAAGACGUAGGACCUAAAUUCGCAGUUAAAAUAUCUAAAAAUGCAGACAAAAAUUCGCGGAAAAGCACUGCUACUUGGCAUUGCCAUUGAUCAUCAAGGAAUAUGGAAGAAGCUUGACCCCAGCCAGAAACGGGCGUAAAUCGAAGAGCUGCUCCACCAAGGCAUUCCAUUCCAUUCCAUUCGACCAUGUCUGCAAUUCCUAUACGGCACUAUUUGUUAAACAAAAAUACACUUGCCAAACAGGCAAAAACUUA
Molecule: long non-coding RNA, 666 nt
Organism: Drosophila santomea
Lineage: Eukaryota; Metazoa; Arthropoda; Insecta; Diptera; Drosophilidae
Exons: 3
Source: RefSeq, a predicted model, not a curated record